CGCCUAGUCGAGCGGAUGACGGGAGCUUGCUCCUUGAUUCAGCGGCGGACGGGUGAGUAAUGCCUAGGAAUCUGCCUGGUAGUGGGGGACAACGUUUCGAAAGGAACGCUAAUACCGCAUACGUCCUACGGGAGAAAGCAGGGGACCUUCGGGCCUUGCGCUAUCAGAUGAGCCUAGGUCGGAUUAGCUAGUUGGUGAGGUAAUGGCUCACCAAGGCGACGAUCCGUAACUGGUCUGAGAGGAUGAUCAGUCACACUGGAACUGAGACACGGUCCAGACUCCUACGGGAGGCAGCAGUGGGGAAUAUUGGACAAUGGGCGAAAGCCUGAUCCAGCCAUGCCGCGUGUGUGAAGAAGGUCUUCGGAUUGUAAAGCACUUUAAGUUGGGAGGAAGGGCAGUAAGUUAAUACCUUGCUGUUUUGACGUUACCGACAGAAUAAGCACCGGCUAACUCUGUGCCAGCAGCCGCGGUAAUACAUAGGGUGCAAGCGUUAAUCGGAAUUACUGGGCGUAAAGCGCGCGUAGGUGGUUCGUUAAGUUAGAUGUGAAAGCCCCGGGCUCAACCUGGGAACUGCAUCCAAAACUGGCGAGCUAGAGUACUGCAGAGGGUGGUGGAAUUUCCUGUGUAGCGGUGAAAUGCGUAUAUUUAGGAAGGAACACCAGUGGCGAAGGCGACCUCCUGGACUGACUCUGACACUGAGGUGCAAAAGCGUGGGGAGCAAACAGGAUAAGAUACCCUGGUAGUCCACGCCCUAAACGAUGUCAACUAGCCGUGGGAAU
This 779-nucleotide ribosomal RNA is filed under the name Pseudomonas putida. Its description in RNAcentral is "bacterial SSU rRNA". It matches the Rfam family "Bacterial small subunit ribosomal RNA", at positions 56 to 829 of the family's 1533-position model. Lineage: Bacteria; Pseudomonadati; Pseudomonadota; Gammaproteobacteria; Pseudomonadales; Pseudomonadaceae. The record is from RNAcentral.